AGUGAACGCUGGCGGUAGGCCUAACACAUGCAAGUCGAACGGCAGCACAGUAAGAGCUUGCUCUUACGGGUGGCGAGUGGCGGACGGGUGAGGAAUACAUCGGAAUCUACUUUUUCGUGGGGGAUAACGUAGGGAAACUUACGCUAAUACCGCAUACGACCCACGGGUGAAAGCAGGGGAUCUUCGGACCUUGCGCGAUUGAAUGAGCCGAUGCCGGAUUAGCUAGUUGGCGGGGUAAAGGCCCACCAAGGCGACGAUCCGUAGCUGGUCUGAGAGGAUGAUCAGCCACACUGGAACUGAGACACGGUCCAGACUCCUACGGGAGGCAGCAGUGGGGAAUAUUGGACAAUGGGCGCAAGCCUGAUCCAGCCAUACCGCGUGGGUGAAGAAGGCCUUCGGGUUGUAAAGCCCUUUUGUUGGGAAAGAAAAGCAGCAGGUUAAUACCCCGCUGUUCUGACGGUACCCAAAGAAUAAGCACCGGCUAACUUCGUG
Molecule: ribosomal RNA, 492 nt
Filed under: uncultured bacterium
Lineage: Bacteria
Description: partial 16S ribosomal RNA
Rfam family: Bacterial small subunit ribosomal RNA
Source: RNAcentral